AAAGUGAGGCCACAAAUCCAAAAGGCAACGGAUUUUCAUAUAUUUGGUAAGUAAGAUACUUACGGUGAAAUGUCUCAAUCGAGAUUUUACAAAGUUACUCUUGUUUCAUAUAUCUUGUAUAAGACUCUUCUACGAAGUAAGAUAAGAUUGGCGUGAUUUUUCUCAUCAAAAAUUUCAUACUGCGUAAUAGCAACUGGAUUUUACGAUUCUAAGGGAGUACAGUGCAAUCCUUCUAAAGAAUAUCAUACGGAUUUUUUCCUACUCCGAUCUUGCCGUUAUGUGUUGCCUCAAUUGACGUAUGUUAGAGGGAUUGUCAAGAGAAUCGACUCAGGUAUGUUAAGGCUAUCCCUUCUUUCUUUUUGUCAUGAACUAUACGACACAAGCGAAACGAGCAAAUGCACAACUUUUAUAAAUUACUCUAUUUUUUGACAAGCAUUGCAGUGGUAAUCAUAUUUUAGAAGUUCUUACGGUUUGAGAUUUUUCAUGAGCUAUAAGACUUAUGCAAAAUAAUCCAACUAUAACAUCAGUACUUAGCAGACAUGAAGAUUGUUUUUAUUGCUUUUUCGCAAAGGAAAAUUAAAUCGUUAAUACCUUCUAUACUAUACUCUAUGCACUAGUAGUAAAAGGACGUGUUGUCCUCAGGUUUAUGCACUAUAUGAUUAUAGCACCCUUACAAUACAACAAGAAUAGUCCCAGUACUAAAUUUUUUGGGUCUAAGAAAAACACGUAAGUUGAAAAAGUUUACUUCAUGAUAUUAAUCAGAGGCAUAAUGGUCUUAUGACACUACGAAAGAUUUUAUUGACGUACUUCGCAUGCAUUGCAUUCAUGUACAUUGACAUAUGACCAAAUGACGUUAUAUAUGUGUAUAUAUGUAUAUUAUAUAUAUGGGAUAUGAGAAAAAAUUAUGGCGUUAUAUACGCACCACCACCUGAUCAGCUGGUAUACGUUAAUGAUUUUGCCCACAGUGGCCGAGAUAAUAUGAUGAGAUGCCCUCAGAGGCCUAAUGAUGUUAUGAAACAUGUACCUAUGCACAACAUGACAUUUACACGCAUAUGCAUGCCACUAUAAUUAUUUCAUGAAUUACAGAAUUAUCCAGACUUACAGGUUGAGUCAUUUACUCUAUAUUUCUUCCAUGUCUGUUAUGUACUUAUUUAUGUGCCUUAGAUACUCGGUACUUUAUUCGUACUGACAGUCCCUUUUACCUGGGAACGCUGCGUUUCAUUCCCGUAGAUCCCAAUAGACAGGUUGAGAGCCCUCCAAGUAGGCUAUCAGCUCAGAUGAAGAUGUUGGUGCGCUCCAUCUUCAGAGUUGCUUGUUUGGUUAGUAUGAUUUAGAAGUGUAUUGUUUGGUAUGGCGGGAUUCUGUCCCAAUCUUUAUAAAAAUUAUGUAUUCUUAGAGGCUUGUAGAUAAAUGUCAUGUACGUAAAAGAUUUAUGGCCUUGUCGGCAUAUGUUCAGUAUACGAGUGGUUAUUUUUUCUUAUAGGCCCGUAUGUCUUAUGUAUAAGUUGGUAUCACAUGUUGUAUUCUACUUAUCUCACGCCAGCCUUCUGAAUUAGUUAUCUAUGAUAGUAUAACAUAAAAAGAUAUGUUAUGUUGGCACUCGGUUGAUUAAGGUACCGGGUGUCCGUCACGACCCAUCGGUUUGGGUCGUGACAAAAGUGGUAUCAGAGCAGUUCUGUCCUAGAUAGUAGAGUCUUGCUUAUGGGUAUGUCGUGCACCACACUUAUAAGUAGGAGGCUACAGG
This 1744-nucleotide long non-coding RNA is filed under the name Nicotiana tabacum (common tobacco). RNAcentral describes it as "long non-coding RNA (NTAB_LNC008872)". The record is from RNAcentral. Lineage: Eukaryota; Viridiplantae; Streptophyta; Magnoliopsida; Solanales; Solanaceae.